Molecule: ribosomal RNA, 461 nt
Filed under: uncultured Glomus
Lineage: Eukaryota; Fungi; Glomeromycota; Glomeromycetes; Glomerales; Glomeraceae
Description: SSU rRNA
Rfam family: Eukaryotic small subunit ribosomal RNA
Source: RNAcentral
AAAGCUCGUAGUUGAAUUUCGAGAUCAGUACGCUGGUCGUGCCUUCGGUAUGCACUGGUGUCACUGGUUUCUCCCUUCUGAAGAACCGUCAUGUCAUUAAGUUGGUGUGGCGGGGAAUCAGGACUGUUACUUUGAAAAAAUUAGAGUGUUUAAAGCAGGCUCGCGCUUGAAUACAUUAGCAUGGAAUAAUGAAAUAGGACGUUUGACCCUAUUUUGUUGGUUUCUAGGAUCGACGUAAUGAUUAAUAGGGAUAGUUGGGGGCAUUAGUAUUCAAUUGUCAGAGGUGAAAUUCUUGGAUUUAUUGAAGACUAACUACUGCGAAAGCAUUUGCCAAGGAUGUUUUCAUUAAUCAAGAACGAAAGUUAGGGGAUCGAAGACGAUCAGAUACCGUCGUAGUCUUAACCAUAAACUAUGCCGACUAGGGAUCGGAUGAUGUUAAUUUUUUAAUGACUCAUUCGGCA